UAGCGGCAGGCCUAAUACAUGCAAGUCGAGGGGUAACAGAGGGUGCUUGCACCCUGCUGACGACCGGCGCACGGGUGAGUAACACGUAUGCAACCUACCUUUUACUGGGGGAUAGCCAAGAGAAAUUUUGAUUAAUACCCCAUACGAUCUAAUUAUUUCCUGAUAAAUAGAUGAAAGUUUCGACGGUAAAAGAUGGGCAUGCGUCCUAUUAGUUUGUUGGUAAGGUAACGGCUUACCAAGACUACGAUAGGUAGGGGUCCUGAGAGGGAGAUCCCCCACACUGGUACUGAGACACGGACCAGACUUCUACGGGAGGCAGCAGUAAGGAAUAUUGGACAAUGGAGGAAACUCUGAUCCAGCCAUGCCGCGUGCAGGAAGAAUGCCUUAUGGGUUGUAAACUGCUUUUAUACAGGAAGAAAACUUGGUAUGUAUACCAACUUGACGGUACUGUAAGAAUAAGGAUCGGCUAACUCCGUGCCAGCAGCCGCGGUAAUACGGAGGAUCCAAGCGUUAUCCGGAAUCAUUGGGUUUAAAGGGUCCGCAGGCGGUUUAAUAAGUCAGAGGUGAAAUCCUACAGCUCAACUGUAGAAUUGCCUUUGAUACUGUUAGACUUGAGUUAUUGUGAAGUAAUUAGAAUGUGUAGUGUAGCGGUGAAAUGCAUAGAUAUUACACAGAAUACCGAUUGCGAAAGCAGAUUACUAACAAUAUACUGACGCUGAGGGACGAAAGCGUGGGUAGCGAACAGGAUUAGAUACCCUGGUAGUCCACGCCGUAAACGAUGGAUACUAGCUGUUCGAUGCACAUUGGUGUGUUGAGUGGCUAAGCGAAAGUGAUAAGUAUCCCACCUGGGGAGUAC
Molecule: ribosomal RNA, 856 nt
Filed under: uncultured Flavobacteriaceae bacterium
Lineage: Bacteria; Pseudomonadati; Bacteroidota; Flavobacteriia; Flavobacteriales; Flavobacteriaceae
Description: bacterial SSU rRNA
Rfam family: Bacterial small subunit ribosomal RNA
Source: RNAcentral